Molecule: ribosomal RNA, 397 nt
Filed under: uncultured bacterium
Lineage: Bacteria
Description: partial 16S ribosomal RNA
Rfam family: Bacterial small subunit ribosomal RNA
Source: RNAcentral
AUACGUAGGUGGCGAGCGUUGUCCGGAAUUACUGGGCGUAAAGGAUGCGUAGGUGGAUAUUUAAGUGGGAUGUGAAAUCCCCGGGCUCAACCCGGGAACUGCAUUCCAAACUGGGUAUCUAGAGUGCAGGAGAGGAAAGCGGAAUUCCUAGUGUAGCGGUGAAAUGCGUAGAUAUUAGGCGGAACACCAGUGGCGAAGGCGGCUUUUUGGACUGUAACUGACACUGAGGCAUGAAAGCGUGGGUAGCAAACAGGAUUAGAUACCCUGGUAUUCCACGCCGUAAACGAUGGGUACUAGGUGUAGGAGGUAUCGACCCCUUCUGUGCCGUCGUUAACACAAUAAGUACCCCGCCUGGGGAGUACGGUCGCAAGACUAAAACUCAAAUGAAUUGACGGGG